Non-coding RNA from Sus scrofa (pig), 12905 nucleotides. NCBI's taxonomy places the organism in Eukaryota, Metazoa, Chordata, Mammalia, Artiodactyla, Suidae. The record is from RefSeq and is a predicted model, not a curated record.
UACCACAAUGAAAAUAAUAGCUUUUUUUAUUUUUUUUAUUUUUUUUUUUGUUUUGUUUUGCUGCUGGCUUUUAUAUAUAUAUAUAUUUUUUUUUUAUUAUUAUUUUCCCACUGUACAGCAAGGGGGUCAGGUCAUCCUUAGAUGUAUACAUUGCAGUUACAUUUUUUCCCCCACCCUUUCUUCUGUUGCGACAUGAGUAUCUAGACAUAGUUCUCAAUGCUAUUCAGCUUUUAUUUUUUUAUAUACUGUUUUGUAUUAAUAUAUAUUAUUACUCAUAAUUUCUGUUAAAAAUAAUAUUUAUAACAAGUAAAAUAGACAUCAUUUCCAUGGUGUGUGUUGACAUAUCUAACUGGUGUUACUGUUAUGGAGAAAUCUCUCCUAAAGCAGAGAAUCCAGUAGCUCUGGGCCUAUGGUGACAGGAAGGAGGGUUGCUCAUUGUGAACUUAGGGACAGGGGCAUAGGGGUGAGAAGAUGCAGGUCAUGGCUGUCCUGAUGAGGAUGAAUCAUAGCUGCUGGCUCAGGCAGGGAUUCCUGGUGCAGCACACUCACCCACCCUCACAGUCACAGUGCCAAAUGGAAGAGUGCCUCAGUCAGCUCCCCUGCCUCUCUGGGUGUCAUGCUGCCCUUGAGGCUCAGGGGCAUCUGUGUCUGUGGCUGACCAAUCCCCUGUGAGCCUCAGGCCCUCUAAGGAUGAUAAGCCUUGGGGACCCGGUGGGGACAGGGCUGUGACUCAUCUUUGUAGAAGCCUGGAAAUGGAGGGGCAAGGAAGGGACCACAGUGGGUGACCCAGCAGAGUGUCCCCCGUUGGCCUGGGGGGGAGAGCAGUAGAGACAAUGCCUGUGUCCAUCCUAAGCUCUGCCACCCAGGUCCCCCCUAGGGUGGAUGCUAGUCACCCGGGCCUGUGCUCCAAGGGCCCUUCAUGGCCCUGUGAGCUGCCUGGGGGCAUCCAAGACAGGAAUGCCCAGGCUGUGCCUUCAGGCCUUGUUUGGUCUCAUCCACGCAGCCCUGUGUGCAUUCUGCCCACUGGGGUCCCGUGUCCAGGCUGGAGGGGAGGAGGUGGUGUGGAAAGAUGCCCAUCCUGAGCACCAGGGGCUCUGCAGCAGCACGUGUGGUCACAACACCGUGAAGGUUGCACGGAUGGUAGCUUGUGUACCUGGGUGUGGGACGAGUUUUAUUGCUGUUGCACAAUGUACAAGGCUACUGAUUCUGUUCAUUUUUUUCCUGAUAAGAUCAUUGUUUCUGAGGCAAUAGAAGCUUAAUAACCAGAACAAAAGCCAGAGCCAUUUUUGCUAAUCCAGGUACAGCUGAUUUAUAAUGUCAUGUUAGUUUCAGGUGUACAGCAAAGGGAUUCAGCUACAUAAAAGUAUUUUCUCAGAUUCUCUUCACUUCUAGGUUAUUACAAGAUAAUACAGUUUCCUGUGCUGAUCAGCAGGUCCUUGCUGUUUACCUGUUUUAUAUAAAGUAGUGUGUCUGUUAAUCCCAAACGCCUAAAAUAUCCCCCCCACCCUAUUGGUAACCAUGAGUUUAUUUUCUGUCUGUGAACCUGUUUGUUUUGUAAAUAAGUUCUUUUGUAUCAUAGUUUAGAUCCCACGUAUAAGUGAUAACACAUGAUGUUUGUCUUUCUCUGACCUCAUUUAGUAGGAUAAUUUCUAGGUCCAUCCAUGUUGCUGCAAGGGGCAUGAUUUCAUUCUUUUUUUAUGGCUGAGUAAUAUUCCAUUGUAUGUCUAUGUUUUCUCUCUAUAACAUCAUCUUCAUCCACUCCUCUGCUAAUGGGUGUUUAGGUUGCUUCCAUGGCUUGGCUAUUGUAUUCAGGGCUGCUGUGCAUGUGGGAGCAUGUGUAUCUAUUGGAAUUAAUAUUUUCGUCUUUUCCAGGUACAUGCUCAGGAAUGCGAUUGCUAGCUGAGAGUGAUUUACAGUGUUCUAUCAGCUACAGGUGUACAAUAUUGCGAUACAGUGUUUUUAUAAAUGAUGCCCCAUUUAAGGUUAUUGUAAAAUCUCCAGAGUUCCCUGGUGGUGCACUGGGUCAAGGAUCUGGUGCUGUCACUGCAGUGGCUCAGGUUGCUGCCAUGGUGCAGGUUCGAUCCUUGGCAUGGGAACUUCCACAUGCUAUGGGUGCACCAAAAACAAAUAACUAAAAAUCUCGAAGUUAUUUUCCAACAGCAUGAAGUGACUCCUGACCCUGGCCAUGGCAGAAGCAGCCGGUGGUAGCCUUGUUCUUUAACAGGUUACAGCCAGAAAUGCUGGGUGAGACAUGGAAGGCGGUGGUCUGAGACCUCUGCAUCGGGUGGACAGUCAGGACUUAAAGCAAUGACACCACCAGGUUGAAGAGAGUCUCCCCCAAAUCUGUGUCCCUGGAAUCUCAGAAGAUGACCUGUCUUUGUGAAUGUCACAGGUGAGAUGAGCUCCCACUGGAGCAGAGCGGGCAGUUAAUCCGAUGACUGGUGUCUUUUUAAGAAAGGGGGACAUUGGGGUAGUGUGUCUCCCCGCCAAGGGGCUCCCAGGCUCACUGGCAAACCCCGGAGGCUGGGGGAGGGGCUUGCGUCAGGCACCACCCGCCCCUCCCUCAUGGGGAGCAAGUCUCUGUCUCUAAGCAUCAGGAUUGGGUGACUGGCCAUGAGUUCUCCCACCUGUGACUCUAUGUUCUUGAAGUCAUGCAUCUUUGAACCAAGGACCAGCAGCUAAACAGGAGAAGGCAAACGUGGGAGAGGAGGCUGCCCCUACGGGACGACUUUUCUUUUUAGGGCCGCGCCUGUGGCAUAUGGACGUUCCCAGGAUUGGGGUCGAAUGGGAGCUGCAGCUGCCAGUCUACACCACAGCCACGGCAAUGCCAGAUCCCAGCCAUACCUGCAACCUACGCUGCAGCGUGCAGCAACAUCAGAUCCUUAACCCACAGAGCAAGGCCAGGGAUUGAACCCUCCUCCUCACAGACUCUAUGGCAGGCUAUUAACCCACUGAGCCACAAAGGGAACUCCAUCAUCUCUGACUAUAAAGUGAGGUUUAAAAUGGGCAGCCGUGGGAAUCCACCCCAAGCUGCAUUCCUGGCCCCUGUCCUUUAGUUUCUCGUCUUUUGACCUCGGACAGAGGAGCCAGGGUAGGACCUGAGGGCUCUGUAAGGUUUUCUGUGGGAAAGCUGUUAAGAAUGCUUUCAAAACCCAAACUGAAUCCUCUUCCCUGUGGGGUUUUAAAUGCCAGUCACUUAAAAAAGACAACUUCAGGAAUUCCUUUUGUGGCUCAGUGGGUUAAGAACCCAACUAGCAUCCAUGAGGAUGAAUGUUUGAUCCCUGGCCUCGCUCCGUGGGUUAGGGAUCCAGGGUUCCCGUGAGCUGUGGUGUAGGUCUCACAGCUCAGAUCCCACAUCCCUGUGGCUCUAGGUGUAGGCUGGCAGCUGCAGCUCCAGUUAAAUCCCUGGCCUGAGAACUUCCAUGUGCUGCAGGUGCAGCCCUAAAAAAUAAAACAAAAAGCAAACAACCCUUCAGAUAUGACCUCAAAACUUCAAUUCGAUGUCAAACUCCCACAGGUGAGAGGAGGUUAUUACUUUUCAGAAAAGUAAACUGCCUUGAAAAACGACAGCCCAGCACCCUCCCCGAGGCCAUAACACCCAUGUUAACAGGCAGUGAAAGGCCUCUUAGGGUGGCCAGUUCACAACCUGCCUUUGGAGAGGGUGCUGGUCUCAGAAGCCAGGCUGGAGGAGGGUCCUUUGCAGACGGGGGGAGGGGACCUACUUUGGACGCGUGAGAUUCUGAAAGAUCAGCCGCGUUCUUCACCAGCAAAGGGUGGUUUUCUCUCUGAAAGGGAACCAGUUGCUGGUGAGAUGCCCAGACUUUCCCGCGUUCUGCCAGGAGGAGCGUGGCGCUUCACAGCAGCUCUGUGGGCAGAUUCUGGAAACACAGGAGCUGUCAUUGCUGGGCGAAAUAGAGGAAAGCAAUCUAGAGGGGAGACCCUGGGGGAUUUCAAAGUCCUUGGGGCGUUCCCAUGGUGGCCUGGCAGGUUCAUGACCGGAUGUUGUCUCCAUGAGGAUGCAAGUUCGAUCCCUGGCCUCACUCCAUGGGUUAAGGAUCUGCUGUUGCCGGGAGCUGUGGUGUAGGUCGCAGUUUCGGCUUGGAUCCUGUGUGGCCAUGGCUGUGGUGUAGGCUGGCAGCUGAAGCUCCUAUUCGAGCCCCAGUCCAGGAACUUCCAUGUGCCACAGGUGCAGCCCUAAAAAGGCAAAGUCCUUGAUAAUAACCUAUAAGGGAAAAGAACUUGAAAAGAGUAUGUGUGUGUGUGUAUGUAUACCUAUGUGCACAUACGUGUGUGUGUGUGAGAGUAUAUAAGAGAAUCAGUGUGCUGUGUACCUGAAACAUGACAUUGUCAACUGACUCUACUUCAGGUUUUUUUUUUUUAAGUCCUGAAUAGAAUCCGAUGUCCAGGAGCUUUCACCUGUUCCCAGCCGUCUCUACUGCUCACCCCUCUAAGCCCUAAUUACUUUCCGCCAGGCACAAGGUCAUUGGACACACCAGUCAAGAUAAAACACUGGUUACAUGUUGGCUUUUCCAUCAAAGAAGCCCCCCUGUAUAUGCCUUAGACAAGUCUUAGUGUUUGAGGGUACAGGAGAUUUUCAUUGACUCAGACUCCAUGACCCAAGGGUGUCUGAAGCCCAAUCCCGGCAUCUCAACCUGGAACGAUGAGACCAGACAGGUCAGAUGCAAAAUGCAGCAGGGAAAACGGCUGCCCUGUAAUUUGCCCUGGAGGAGCGGGUGUGCCAGGCGCAGUCCUGGCCCCAAGCACAUGAUUUGGGGAUGAUGGCUCUUGACCUUUCGGGGUGGCAGGUUUGGUUUGGUCAGGGUGCUUUCUGCCAAACACGGCACCGUGUGCUGCUUGUAGCAGGCAGAGCGUCUUCAUCGGUGGUGAUGGCAAGAUAUUGAUCCCGGGCAGGAGUCCCCCCGGGGUUUUACGUGUCGCCCAGGAAGGCGAUGAAUCUCCUUUAUGAACACGACACAAAGUAAUCAAUGCAUUUGGCAGAUUCAUUAGGACGUUAAAAAGGCUUGGAGAAGAGAUGGAAUGCCUCAAGAAUCCAUUUAAAAGGAAGAGUAAUAGGGUUAUUAUAUCCAUGCCAGAAUAUUUUACCAAGAACGGCCGGCAUCGCAAUAUACAUAACGUUCUGUUUAUAGCAAUAAAAACCGGCUCACAGGGAGCAGGUGCGGAAAAAGACAAACUCAUGAACGUUUGUGAAUGGAAGAAACAGCCCAAGGAGCUUUAAGAUCUUGGGAUGAAUUAUCUUAAAUCUUCCAGAGCUUUCUACUCAGACCAAGGGGUUUUUUCUAAAGGCAAAACUAUUUUUUUGUUGUUUUCAAAAUUUUAAGUUAAAAAUCUCCCAUUCAGCUUGGUAAAAUUGCUUAAAAGUAAAGGGUUUUUUUUUGGAGUUCCCGUCGUGGCACAGUGGUUAACAAAUCCAACUAGGAACCAUGAGGUUGUGGGUUUGAUCCCUGGUCUCGCUCAGUGGGUCAAGGAUCCAGUGUUGCCAUGAGCUGCGGUGUAGGUCACAGACGCAGCUCAGAUCCCGCGUUGCUGUGGCUCUGGCGUAGGCCGGCAGCUACAGCUCCGAAUAGACCCCUAGCCUGGGAACCUCCAUAUGCCAAGGGAGCAAAAAAGGCAAAAAGCCCAAAAAAAAAAAAAAAACUGCAAAGGAGAACAAAGAAAAAAGUCAACUACCUCUAAAAGUAAAUAGGAGUUCUCUUGUGGUGCAGAGAGGGUUCAGGACUCAGCAUUGUCACUGUACCAGCCUGGGUUUCUGCUGUCAUGCAGGUUCAAUCCCUGGCCCAGGGAUUUCUUCCAUAUGCUGCAGGUACAGCCAAAAAAAAAGAAAUUUAAAAGCUAAAACAGUUUUUCAAAGCUACUGAGGUAAUUUUAAAAGCAUUUCAAGUGAGGAAAGGGCUGAAUGUGAACUGCCUUUGCAUGAUGCAGCCUCUAAAUAAGAUCAACCUUUCAGAGUUCCUGUCGUGGUUCGCUGGUUAAGGAAUCCGACUAAGAACCAUGAGGUUGUGGGUUUGAUCCCUGGCCUGCUCAGUGGGUUAAGGAUCUGGCAUUGCCAUGAGCUGUGGUGUAGGUUGUAGACGAGGCUCGGAUCCCACAUUGCUGUGGCUCUGGCGGCUACAGCUCCAGUUGGACCCCCAGCCUGGGAACCUCCAUAUGCCACAGAAGCGGCCCUAGAAAUGGCAAAAAGACCAUAAAAAAAGGUUUUCUUUUUCUUUUAGUAUUGACAAUAUUUAAAAUGAUGUUUUUGGAGUUCCUGUUGUGGCUAGCAGGUUGAGAACCCGACAUAGUCUCUCUGAGGACGCAGGUUCAAUCCCUGGCCUCAGUGGGUUAAGGAUCCAGUAUGGCUGUAGCUGCGGUGUAGAUUGCGGCUGCAGCUUGGAUCCUUCAUUGCUGUGACUGUGGUAAGGCUGGCAGCUGCAGCUCCAAUGCGACCCUAGUCUGUGAACCUCCAUAUGCCACAGUGCAGCCCUAAAAAGACAACACAAUAAAAAUUUUAAAAUUCUAAAAAUAAAAUUGUUUAAAAGCAUUGAGUUAAUCUAAUUUUUAGAAGCCACUGAAUGUAACAUUUCAGUGAGGCAGGAGGGCUGAGUGUGAAUUGCAUGUCUAUGAACCUGCUUCCAAGUAAAAUUAACUUUUUAAAAGAUGUUGACAGUAUUGAAAAUUACGUGUUUAUCGGAUAGAACAGCGCUUGAGAAAGGCAAUAACGUCUAGAAGUUGGGUUUCCAUCAAGAGGCAGAGCCCUCUGCCUUCUGGUUUCCUGAGGUGACAGGCUGGCCACCAGGGAGAAAUGCAGGAUUGUCCCCUGUCCCUCCUUCCCCAGGAACGUCAGGCAACCACGUCCUUAAUCUUCCGGGCAGUGAACGGCUGCAGGACACGAGGGUCAGGCUCAGAGCUGGGAGGGGUCGGGGGUCUGGUGGAGAACUGUGUCGACAGGCAGGAUGGACGCCUGUGAGGGGGGUUGGAAGGAAGCCACUGCAACCCUCCAAAGUUUCUGCUUACCUUGACCACCUAAGCAUGGGGUAAGGACAACGUGUGGCCAUGGCCAUAGGACUUUGUGACCCCAUGUCAUGGUUUUGGAGAAGCAAAAUCCCUGGAAACUGAAGUCCCAUGAGGUGGAGCUGGCGUCCUCUGGGGCAUCUCAUUUAUUUCCAUCAGGGCUGACCCCCAGCAGGCUCUGUCCCAAUGUCAUGGGUGCCCAAGAGUUGGUUGGAAGAUGCCCUGUGCCCCUUUAAAAUUGGGUCUCCAAGACAGCCAACAGGUACAUGAAAAGGUGCUCAACAUUGCCAAUCAUUUGGGAAAUGCAAAUCAGAAGUACAAGGAGAUAUUCAUUGCAGCUCUAUUCGCAAUAACCAAGACGCGGAAAUGACCCAAAGUUGUGAUAUCAUAUGUUGUGGCUAGCAGGUUUACCUCCUCUGUCUGACUUUGCUCACUCAGGAUGAUCAUCUCCAAGUGCAUCCAUGAUGCGGCAAUGCCAUGAGUUUGUUCUUUUUCAUGGCUGAGUAAUAUUCCAUUGUGUAUAAGGACCACAUCAUCUUUAUCCCUCUGUCGAUGGACUUUCAGGUGGUUUCGAUGUCUUGACUACUGUGAAUAGUGCUGCUAUGAACGUAGGGGUGCAUGGAUGUGUUCCAGUUAGGCUUUCUUCCAGAUGUGUGCCCAGGUAUGGGAUUGCUGGAUCCCAUGGUAGUUCUAUGUGUAGUUUUUUGAGGAACCUCCAUACUGGUUUACAUAGUGGUUGUACCAAUUUAUGUUCCCACCAACAGUGUAGGAGGGUUCCCUUUUCUCCACACCCUCUCCAGUAUUUUUUUUUUUUUUUAGGGCCACACCUGCAGCAUAUAGAAGUUCCCAGGCCAGGGGUCAAAUUAGAGCUACAAAUCACAGCCACAGCAACACCAGAUCCGAGCUGCGUCUGCAACUGACACCACAUCUCACGGCAAUGCUGGAUCCUUAACUCACUGAGUGGGGCCAGGGAUGGAACCUGUAUCCUCAUGGAUCAUAGUUGGGUUCAUUUCCACUGAGCCACAAUAGGAACUCCUCCCCAGCAUUUAUUAUGUGUAGAAGGUCCACUGCAUUUUUAACCAGUUCCUCUACCGCUUCAAACGCUGGCCCCACAGAGGUGCGCUCAGGGAGAAAACUGCUGAAUUUGCAGAGACGAUUUGCAGUUUUGUCAUUACUUGUCUGGGUUAGCAGGAGCCUCUCAGCCUUGGUCCCAUUUAUGGAAGAACAAAUCCAAGAGCCGUUUUCUUUGCACCUUCCUGAUGUUCAAGCACAAUGUUGCAGUGACUUUGUGUGUCAUGACACAUCGGCUGUGGUUUCAGGAGUUGGUCUGAAACAGCACGUGAAUCCUGGACCAGCUUCCGCUGGUCUGGCCCCUUCAGUGGGUUGUUGAUUGCUUACCUUGAAACGGCACCCGCUUCAACUGGUUUUGCCACCUUGAGGAGGUUGCUGAUUCAUCAAAUCUUGAGUUAUUUUACAAGGACAACCUGGUACCUGUUCAAGACAGAAGCCCACAUCUCCAGGACGACCCCAGAACCAUGAAUCUUCUGUCUGCAGAAACUAAAGAAUAGAAAAGUUGCCGGUGCCACCCUUGACGAGGCGGGAACUCUUUCAAUGGGGAGCAUCUGGCUUCAGCCACAGGGGUAGCAUCUGUGGCCUGACUCAAGACUAGCCAAUCAGCUUCCCCAACUCCUUGAACUCCACCCAGCCUCUGGAUGGAGGAGACAGGUUGGAGAGCCUUGCUUCUGGGCUCCUUGCUGGUUGACCGCACGACAACGCUCUUCCUCUUACUAAAGCUGGUGCCGUGGGUUGGCUUCUGUGCGUGUCCGACGGGGAGCCUCUGCUCGGUGACAAAUCUGACCGUUUCUCAUGUGCCCAGUCGCCUGAGCAUCGGGCGUCUCAGCCAGUACGCCCUCUACACACCCCACUGGCUGCUCAGGAGGUCUGAGAUGUGUGUCCCCGAGGGAUGACGGAACGCUGGUGCUAUUUUUCAUCAGGCUGUUGUGCAGGAUCCCUCUUCGUCCACCGGACGCAAAGGUGUGGGGUCAGGAGAUGCAAACUAGGACACGGAGAAUGGAUGAGCAAAGAGGUCCUGCUGUCCCACACAGGGAACUCUGUCCAGUCUCUUGGGAUAGACCAGGAUGGAAGAUGAUAAGAGAAAAAGAAGCACCUGCCUGGAUUGGGUGUAAAGGAUCCUGAGAGCGACAGCUUGUGACGUCCUCCUGAGUGAUGCUGAGGUGAUGCAGUCCCGUCGUCUUCAGCCUGCAAAGCCAUCUUGCCCAAGAAGCCCCAUUCCCGGGGCAUCCGGCCAUACGAGAAAGGCUGCCAGGGCUAAAGACGUUACAGACGAAGCACCUACCUUCCUGAAGCCUGUGACUCCCGACGGCGUCCCUGGAGGACGUCCCGGCGUGAAGGCUGGACGCUGUCCUGUACGGUGAAUCAGAUGACUCCUCUGCUCCACCCAGUCCACCUCCAAGGGGGAGCAUGAACAUCAGGCAUCAUCACCACAGAUCUCCAAUACCGUUUGAGUUAAAUGGAUGCUAUGGGGCCUCCCGCGUAGGAGGGUAUGAAGUAUGGAGAGAGACGGGAGCUGCUCAAAUGGACACUCACCUUCCUCCUCCUCUCCGUCCCCAGGGGCUCCAUCCACACGGCCUUUCCUGCUUCUCAAGGCUCCGUCUUGAGACCUGCCUGGGCACAUCCACACUUGUGGAGCCAGAGGCAGCCUCAGGGUCUGAACGCUGGCACCUGUCUGUGGAGCAGCCGGGAUUCCUCGGGGAAAAGAGAAACAGGUUCCGAUUAUUUUAGGGCCGUGACUGCAGCAUGUGGAAGUUCCCAGACUAUAGGGGUUGAAUCGGAGCUGCAGCUGCCCGUCUACACCGCAGCCAUGUGGGAUCCAAGCCACUUCUGUGACCUACACCACAGCUCACGACAGAGGCCAGAUCCUUAACCCAGGGAGUCCCCAUACCUCUCAUGAGAAGAUCUCCUGAGCAGUUCCCUGAGGCCGACGGAAAGGGGAACUGCCUGGGCGGACACCGGUCUCGCUGGGAAACUGAUGGUUGGUUCCGACGUGGCAGCGGCUUUGAGAGUUUUUAGAGAUUCCCCGAGAGAAAUCACUCUCUGCCAUCAAAUGACCACAGCAGAAUGACCGCAGUGCUCACAGCGCUAAGACUUCCCGCGAAGCCGUCUGCUCUGCUCCUGGGACGUCAGGUCAUAGGAGCUGGAAGGACCUCGCCGUCUCGGUGACAGUGACUACAAUUGGGAUUAACUUUCGGAGCAGAUGCUCGAUGGCUGCCUCCCACCUCUGUCACUGACGACUUACUUUCCAGGCAACCUCCCACCCUGGGUGCACGUGCCCACUGCCCUGCACGGAUGCACACAUGCAGACACAGACAUGUACAGAGAUGACACAUACACACCUGUACACACACGCUCACAUAAAGACACACUUGUAGACACAUGCAUACACAAAACAUACAACAUGGGCAGACAUGCACAGACACGCAGAAACAGAUACACACAUGCACAAAGACUCACACAUAACGCACAAGACCACACCCUCACACGGACACCCCUGUGCACACAGUGAGUUCUCUAGAAUCCAAAAACCACUCUCCUGCCUUCUCUUUAACCAAGUUCAAAAACUACAGAUUUAUGUCCUUUCAUUUUUCUGAAUUGAAAAUACAACCAACAGUUCCCAGGUUCAGAUGCAUAUGUUUCUAGGCGUCUCAGCACUGUUGGAUGUAUGUAUAUUACAUAUGCUCGGCUGUCCCCACUUACACACGGACAUUCUAGAGGCGCUUGGGGUAGAUGGAUAUAUGUAUACACACACACACUGGGGUAUAUGGACGACCAGAUCAAUAGAUACCAGUUGCUAUAACGCACAGUAUGAGUCCGCUCAGCUGCCAAAAGCAGAUACCCCAGAUGGGGCGGCUUCAACAAGAGGCGUUUAUCCCUCCUGGUGCUGGAGGCUGGCAUCUGAAGUCCCCUGGCAAGGCGAGGCCACUGCCUGGACGUUCACAAGUGCCCUGGCGGUUCUUACUGCGAGCCGGCUGGCUGGCUGGAGGAGACCUGCAGGUGACCACAGAGGAUGUCCAGGGGCAUGAGAGGAGAAGGGGAGCUGCCAGCAUCAUCUGUACCUCCCUGCUCUGCAGAGAUGCAGGAAGCAGUUCAGCUUCGGGCUGCUCUGGAGGGCAGGCAGGCGGGCGGGUUCCAAAACCUUCGGACUCAGAUGGUCCCUGCUAGCCAGCUCCAAACUCUGUUCCUGCAGAUUCAGCCUCAGUGCAUCUGAGUCCACACACGUGUUCCAGAACAGGGGUGAACCGGGGUGCUGGAUGUUGGGGCACGGGGAGGUGGGGGUGCAACCUGACCUCUGACACUGCAACGCCCCAGCAGGCAGCUUCUCAUGGGGCUCCAGCCAGGUGGACCGGUUGGGCAGGGGUGGGCAUGCUCCCCUUUGGAAGGGAACCCAAAGCACCUUAAGUCCUGACCUCACAGAGUUCGCAGGCUCCUAGGGACGCUCAUGAAAAUCAGUUCGUGGAAAAAGUAGAUCUUUCUCCCUGAGCUUUCGGCUUCUGCUCGUCUGUCCGGUCCUCAGAGCUCCCCAAGGAGUUACCUUCCCUGCAGUGUCUGCUCCCUCGCAGCCCUGGAUCCCACAGCCUCUCGUGGUCCCUCUAAAGAAGUACCACGGACCGGGCAGCUUCAAAGGAAGAUGUGCUGCUUUCGUGUUUUAAAGGCCAAAGUGCUCAAGUCAGGCUGCCCGCAGGGCUGGUUCCUCCUGGAGCAGCUCCAGCGGAGAAUCUGUCUGCGGCCUCUCCCAGCUUCUGGAGGUGGCAGCAGUCCUGGGCGUGCGGUCCCUCCUCAGAGCCUGCAGCCCAGCAUCUCGCGAUCAAAUGGUCCUCUGCCUCUUAUGGGAACCUCUGUGAUGACGCUGGACCACCUGGAAAAUCCCGGCCAUCUCCCCAGCCAAGGUCCUUCGCGUGGCCACAGCUGCCAAGUCCCCUCUGCCGUGGGACGUCACAGAGUCGCAAGGUCCGGGGGUCAGGGUGUGGUCGUCCUUGGGGACAGGGCUCUGUCCCCCACACAGGGAUCAGGAUGUGGACGUCUUUGGGGACGUGGUUCUGUCCCCCCCCACACACACACACUGAGCUCCUUCACUUCUAAUGCUGUCUUACUGUAUCUUUAAACAACAGCCCAGAAAUAAAUGCACACACCUAUGGCCCCUUAAUCUUCCACAAAGGAGGCAAGAACAUAAAAGGGACAAAAGACAGUCUCUUCCCAACCAGGGCUGGGAAACCUGGACAGCUGCACAUAAAUCAAUGAAACUAGAGCACACCCUCACACCAUGCACAAAAAUAAACGCAAAAUGGGCUAAAGACACGAUGCCAUAUAUCUCUGAGAUCCCAGGCACAACAUUUUCUGAUGUAAAUCAUACCACAUGUUUUCUUAGGUCAGUCUCCCAAGGUAAUGGAAAUAAAAGCAAACAUAAACCAAUGGGACCCAAUCAAACAGUCUUUUGCACAGUGAAGGGAACCGACAACAAAACAAAAAGACAACCUAUGGUUUGGGAGAAAAGAGUUGUGAACAACGAGGCUGACAUGGGAUUAACCUCCAAGAUAGACCAAUAGCUCCUGCAGCUCAAUAUCCCAAACAACCCAAUCAAAAAACGGGCCAAAGACCUAAGCAGACAUUUCUCCAAAAACAUACAGGUGGCCAACAGGCACACGAAAAGAUGCUCAACAUCCCUGAUUAUCAGAGAAAUGCAAAUCCAAACGGCAAUAAGGUACCCCCUUCCACCUGUCAGAAUAGCCAUCAUUAAGCUAUAACAAAUGCUGGAGAGGGUGUGGAGAAAAGGGGGCCUCCCCCACCCUGUUGGGAUGUAAAUUGGUACAACCACUAUGGAG